Long non-coding RNA from Pyrgilauda ruficollis (rufous-necked snowfinch), 1365 nucleotides. RefSeq lists it as uncharacterized. The record is from RefSeq and is a predicted model, not a curated record. Lineage: Eukaryota; Metazoa; Chordata; Aves; Passeriformes; Passeridae. The transcript has 3 exons.
CGCGGCCCUCGGGCCAACGGGAGCAGCCUGGACACCGGCAGGCAGCAAUGGGGAAAACGAAGGGAGCGCGGGGAGGAUCCUGCGGGACGGGACCGUGGGGAGCGCGAUCUUUUUCAGUUGCUUGGAAUGAAGAAAGUCUUUGCUUAAAAUUGCUGCAUUGCAACAUCGCUACUCCCAGCUAUUAAACAUCCCACGGCACGAAACACCGAGUCCACACAGGCCUACCUUAGCAAGUGUUCCAGUCAAGCACAACAUGAGUCAUCUUCUGAGCUUCAGCUGGAUGAUUUGUGAGGAAUUUGCAGCCAGGAAGAAAAUCUCAGAGAAUCAACUUAUGACCAAGGAUCACAAGCCACCAUCUUAGGAUGUGAAUUUCUUCUAAAGGAAGAAAAGCACGAUGCAGGGGCACCAGUGGAACCUUACCUUCAGGAAACCAGACAACCUGAGAAUGUCAGUAGAAUUUUGAAAGAAAUUAUUUUCAGGAAAGCAGGAAGGUCUUCACUGGAGACUUUCUAAAAGCUUUUUAUGGCAUAAUGGCAAGAGGCAUGUUAAGAUGUAGGCUUGCCAAACAUUUUUGAAAGACCUAUUCAGCCCUCAGUGAGAGUCCUUGCUUCUGAGAUGGGGUGAACUCACCAUGGGGCUGAAGGUCACCACAAGGCAGCACUGAUAGCUCUUUUGGAGGCCUUAUUAAUGGCAUGGCUUGCACAACAAAACUGUAGUUUUAAUUUUGUGGAAGAUACCAUGUAUUUACUCAUUGGUGAGAGCUGCAGUACUUUUCUCACACCAUAUUGCUGUGUCCUGCAUUGUCUUUCUGAUACAGUGUAAUCAGAUAAGAUAAUAGAUUUGUAAAACAGAUACACCAGUGAGCAUCACCCAUGUCAUGGUAGGAAUCUUGCAUCUACAUUCUGCAGCUGACAGCUAUUAAGUCUAAAGUCUUUUUAGUGUAGUUUUGGUAUAGGCAGAGGUGAAAUACAGAAUAAAGGCCUUAAAAUUUAGAUUACAAAGACUUAAGAAUUCACUUGGGAGUAUAAACUGCAGCAGCAACAAAGGAGCGGUUCAGUGCACAAAGGAAAAAUGAAGCAGUCUUAUGAGAGAAACUGAAGGAGGCAGAUGGCAAUUAGAUGUCAGUAAGCUCUCAUUAAAAGUGGAUGGUUUCCAGACUCAGUUAAGAGAAAACUCUUUGAAAACAUUUUUUGGAGCAGUAGAAAUAAAAAAGAAAUAUUAAAGCUCAUACAAGGUGGUUGUGUAUUACAAAAUAUUUUCUUUUCACUUUUAUUUGGGAAAAGAGUGAAAAAGUUAUAUGUGGAAUCUGUAGUUCCAUCACAUAACUCAGAUUUCUGCUGCUAUAGGCUUGCAAAACAGAUGUGU